This 10968-nucleotide long non-coding RNA is filed under the name Lynx pardinus (Iberian lynx). The record is from RNAcentral. Lineage: Eukaryota; Metazoa; Chordata; Mammalia; Carnivora; Felidae.
CCUCUGCUGCUUUGGAACAGAUCACCACUGCAAGAGAGGAAGCUGCUACUGUGAUGAAUUCUGCCACGAGGUGUCAGACUGCUGCCCAGACCACCGCACCCUGUGCACCCUGGAUAACUCACAUGCAGGCUCCUUCCCACCCCUGGCGGAGCCGGAUGCUGUGAUGGACAGAGGCAAGCCCCUUGCUUGUACUUCAGGCCAAGGCCAGGAUGUGGACUGGAUGCCUCCUGAGGGCCCUGAUAAUCCUGAGAUCCUCACAUUUGGUCCAUUUCGUACCAAAAGUGCCCACAUAUUCCUCCCAGCUUUGUUUCCCCACUGCUCCUGACCACCUGCUGCUCCCCUCUGAGCUCCUUUCCCAGAUCCCCACAGGGAGAGGCUAAGCUGUUGGUGGUUGGGGAUCAGGGUGGCGAGUGAGGUGGUUGGGUCACCUAACUGCCCCCGCAUCUCUUGCAACAUAGAUGCCUCUUGACCUGACCCAUGUAGACUUUUGAGGGAAGACAGGAGUCUGCAGAGAGGUGCUAGGGAUGUUACAUAGGAGGAGGGAGACUGGGAGUCAGGGAGGAGGCCAGGAGCUUUUGCUUUGUGUUUCUCAGCUUCUCAGAAUACCAAGAUGGUGCUGCAGAUGGUGCUGAGGAGGGAGACCCCCCCGAGCCCUGCAAGAAGCAACCUAGACUGGAUACAGAAUGUGGUGAGUACCCUGGUGGUUCUCCCGGAAGGGGUGCUGACAACCUGCUCCUGCCUCCCUGGCCUGUAGACCCCAGAGUCAGGGAACCACUACCAAGGGGGGAAAGAGACCUGAGCUGGGGCACAGCUCCACGGUUUUAGGGCUAGGAGCCAUGGUAUCUGACCAUGGACACUGACACCUGAAUUUCAUAUAAUUUUCAUGUGUCAUGACAUAUUCUUUUGACUUUUUUCAACCACUUAAAAUAUAAAAAACAUUCUUAACUUGUGAUCUGCACACACACACACACACACACACACACACACACACACACAAACCUGCAACAAGUCAGACUUGGCCCACGGAUUGUGGUUGGCUGCUCUCUGCCCUAAAUCAUCCUUUGUUCUUUACUUUUCGUUUGGGUCGUGACUUCAGCACUGACCUGUCCAGAGCUCUCUGCCCAGAACUGGAGCAGAGGCUUCAGUCCCCACUCUAGCAUAUUAUGACCAUUGGGCAGAAAGAAAGGCAGCAUGGUACAAGGAAAGAGCAUGGACUCGGGAGCCAGCAAGACCUGGGUUCAAAUCCUGUCUCUACCACUUAUUACCUGGAUGAUUACUGGAUGACCUGAAGUAACUUCUUCUGCCUUUCUGAGCUUCCCUUUCCUCAUCUGUGUCCCAGAGCUUGCCCUGUAGAGCUGUUACAAAAGGGCCUUGGUAGAUGUACAACGAGACAUAGCUAUUAUUUGGGGACAUGCAAAUAAGCUGCAGAGGGUGUAGGCCUUCGCUUCCUGCUCACUUAGGUCCAGCAGCUUCUGCACACCAGCCUCCCAGGGAGGCCCCUCUCCAUCUCCAUGAAGAAAAUCAAGAAGAGAGCCUGACAUCUCCCAUGAAGCUCCUCCAGGGCCCUGUGAUGCAGAGCCCACCCUAUUCCCCUCCCCCAGCAUCCCCAGGUCUGCUGGGGCCUUACCACUGGGCCCACUGUGCUUGUCUCUUGGUUUCUAUCCUGCGUGCUUCUAUAUUGGUUCAACCAGAGGAAGACGGAAAUCUGCAAUAGUCAUAAACACAUUUAAAUCAGCCAUACAUGGCUGGGUGGCUCAGUCAGUUGAGUAUCCAAAUUCAGCUCUGGUCAUGAUCUCACAGUUCAUGAGUUCAAGCCCUGCAUUGGGCUCUGUGCUUACAGCCCAAAGCCUGGAGCCUGCUUCGGAUUCUGUGUCUCCCUCUCUCUCUGCCCCUCCCCUGCUCUCUCUCUCUCUCACUCUCUCUCUCAAAAUAAAUGAACAUUAAAAAAAUUAAAUCAGCCAUACAGAUUAUAAAACAUAAAUUUGGCUCAUUGUAUUCAUUGUUUGUGGUGGUUAUAAUGAAUAUAGUAACUGUUUCUUGAAAGCAGAAGGCGAGAACCUAGCACCCCUUUGGCUAAGUGAUCUGUGCCUCCUUCUUCAGUAUUCCUUCCCAGGUAUCAUGUGACCACCUCUAAAUCCCAAAAUAGCCUGGUCUGAUCCCUAGCCUCGUGUUCACCUACUUUUCUUCCCAUGGUAAAAAGAGGCAGGGUGACCUUCUUCUAGUGGGUUGGGAUUGGCUUUCUGGGAGUUUCCUUGUGUGAGGAUUUCAAAACUCCAGGAGAGUGAUGCCAGGGGGUUUUGGGGUCUGUUGAACCCAUUGCCUUCCCUCUCAGACCUGCUCCUCCCCCUGUUUGGUGAAUGGUUCCCUACCCUUCAGCUUCCUGCACUCCAGGCCUUAGGGUCUUCUUUUUCUUCUCUCUGCCUGUGGCCUUCCUCUGCAAGGUGACAAGUCUUUCUAGUUCUACUUCACAACACGGUUCAUUUCUGCUCCUCCUAUACUCCAAUUGCCAAAGUCCCAGGUCACAGCGUCCUAACUGGUCCUCUUGCCCCCGGGAUCUCCCCUAACUGGUCUCUGUCCCCAGUUUACUGCCCACAGCAGAGUUCUGGUGUUGCCAGUUCCUCAUUCAGAAACCACCACUGGCUUCCCAUUGUCUCCAGAACAAAAGCUAACCUCCCACAUAUGGCUACAAAGCCCUCCACAGCAUGAGCCCAAGGCACAUUUCUGGCUUUAUCUGCUAUAAGUCCCUUUCCCCACUCCUAUGUUCUACCUAAAUAGAAUGACCCAUUAUCCCUGUCCAUGCCUUCCUCCAGGCUUUGGCUAAUCUGAACACUGGUUUCUAAGUAAAUGAUUAUAGCAAAGGAGGUCCUGUCAAAGUCCAGUUAUUGGCUCUAUUGGUUCUAUUUUAGCUUAGUUUCUCUGAAUAACUUAUUUGGGAACAGAACUCCAAGGAACAGGUGAGGGAAAAGGGAAGUGAUGCAGAGAAGAAGGGAGACCCAACACAAAGAUGCAUUAUUCAGUUGGCCCCCACUAUGGCUGAUUAGUUGCUUGAUCCUGUGGGACUUUUUUUUUUUUAAUUUUUUUUAACGUUUAUUUAUUUUUGAGGCAGAGAGAGACAGAGCAUGAACGGGGGAGGGGCAGAGAGAGAGGUAGACACAGAAUCUGAAACAGGCUCCAGGCUCUGAGCUGUCAGCACAGAGCCCGACGCGGGGCUUGAACUCACGGACCGUGAGAUCAUGACCUGAGCCGAAGUCGGACACUUAACCGACUGAGCCACCCAGGCGCCGAUCCUGUGGGACCUUUUAAAAAAAUCUUAUGAAAUGUUUCAGAGAACCAUCUGUCCUGGGGAUGGAAUAGGAAGCAUCUGUCCAUUGCCUCCCAUUCUCAUGGUUUAUAGGUUGCUCCACUAGUCGCUAACUCUUUCAGUUCUUUGUUGGUGGUAUGUGAGAGCAGAGCAGCUCUUGGAAGCAUCCCAAGCCUUGGCAUCAGGGAAACCCUGGCAGAGAGCAAAUGGAACAUGGCAAGGCACUGCCUCACCACUCCUGGAAAAGUAGUCACCGUAGCAAUGGCUGGAGUAGGAAGCAAGGCCAAAAGGACUUGAAUGGUGUACAAAAGGUGUUCUACCUACUGGCUUUUGGGAACACAUGCUUUAUCCCUCUAGCUCUUCCAACCACAGAUUUCUUCUCCUGCCUAGGGAUGGAGGAGCCUGGGUGAGGAGACAUCCCUGGGCCCUGUUUGGAAGAACUGGUCUCAUACAUCCAGACCUAGUGGUCUCUCUCCCUUCCUUGCUAGGGAGUACUUUUCAAGUAAGGCUCUGUGGGAUGUGGCCUCUCCAGUUGGGAUCAUCCUGUGGGCCUCACAGAAAGCCCAAAGAUGUUGAUUUAUGGGCUCUUUUCCCUCUCUUCACUCAGUGAUUAUUUUCCUUCCAAAUGUCCAGAAACUCCAUCUCUUUUAAUUGCUCCUAUAUCAUCCUUUCAUCCCAGAUAGGAUGAACAGAGUUAGGUUAUUCCAAACUGAAGAAACUGUUUCUGAGAUGUCCCAAUACUGGUACAGCUUCCUCUCUAGUUGAGUGUACACGUGUGUGCAUAUGUGCAUGCAUAUUUCAUUUCUAUCUGGCUCUCCAUCUUCCCUCCCCAUCUUCCAAAUAUCUUCCCUAUGAAAGUCAUUUCCCUGGCAGCAGCAUACUACCAGGGAAAAGCCCUGGAAAAACAGAGGGUCUGCAUUACCAGCCCUGCCUGGUAUUUAAUUUAAUGCAAAUUAAAAUUACAAAGAGAAAUUAAUAUUCAUAACGAUGUCUAAAAUUACAAGGCCUGAUGAUAGCAAGUGUUGAUGAGAAUGUGGAGCAACUGGAACUCUUAUAUGUUGCUGGUAUAGCCGAAGCUGGCACAAUCAAUUUGGAAAACUGUUGGAUACUAUAUACUAAAGCUAAACACAUGUAUGCCCAAUGACCCAGCAAUUCCACUCAUAUAUAUAUAUAUAUAUAUAUAUAUAUAUAUAUACCCAAAACAAAUGCAAGACUGUUCAUUGCAGCUUUAUCCAGAAUAGUGAAAAACUGGAAACAACUCAAAUGUCCAUCAAUAGGAAAAUGGAUAAAUAAAUGGUGGUGUAUUUUAUACAAUGGAAUACUAUCUAACAACAAAAAAGUACUGUUACACGCAACAUGAGUGAGUUUCACAGGCAUAAUGUUAAGAAAAAGAAGCCACACACGAACGAGUGUGUAUUCAUAAUUCCAUUUACAUGAAGAUCAAAAACAGGCAAAACUAAUCCAUGGUGAUAGAGGUAACAAUGAUUUUGGGGGGCAAAUACUGACUGGAAGGGAACACAAAGGAGCCUAAUGAGAUGCUGAAAAUGUCUCCUAUCUUUGUCUGAGUGUGGAUACCUCCUUGGUGUAUACAAAUGUAAAAAUUCAUCAAGUUGUAUGCUACUUAGGAUUGAUGUAGUUUACUGUAUGUGGGCUAUACCCUAACAAAGAGAUGAAUGAAGAAGUGGACAGAGGGCUCUCUGGAGUUUCCUCUACUAUAGCCCAAGGAAUAGGGGUUAGCGUGGGGAAGGCCCAUUCUCAGGUCCUUACAAAUUUAGAUGCUCCUCACCACCUCUUCUGGGGUAACUCUGCCUGACAGGAUCCCAUCUAAACAAUCUGUGCAUACUUAACAUUUUGAACUUGUAGGGACACACUUGGACCCCCCCAGAGUUGCUAUAGAAAUAUUUUAAAGUAGAAACAUUAAAGCAAUAGAAGAUGUAGAAAGAAAUGUAAUCUGAACUUCCCUUAACUAAAGCAGAGCCUUCCAAAAAUACACCUGCCAUUAGUGUCCUUCUGAGUGAUUUUCUAGCCAAUUCAGUCUGCCAUGGAGACAGACUGCCUAAUAGAACCUUCUGUACCCAUGGAAGCCCUAAACCCCCCACCCUUCCACUCCCACUCCUUCUUUAUGUUUGGUAUAUAAACCUUGAUAUCUGGCUAUUCAGUGAGUUAUUCAAUACUGAGCAACUUCCUGGUGCCCUUGUCAAUAAACUUGGUCUUUUCACCUGUUCAUCUGUCUGUUCUUAAUUAAUUUGCAGACCCUCAAUCAUCAGACCCAUGUUGAAGGAGAAAAAAGUUUUUCCUCCCAACAAACCCAGAACAACUUAGCUGUGGCCUGGAGCUGGGCUAUAUCUCAGUGGUCUAGCAGAUUUAUAACCUUGUAUUUUGAGGACAUUUGACCAAGUUGACUCUUUUAUCAGACUCUUGGCAGGACAGUGCUUUGGGCUUUACUUGAUAACCCUUGUCCUGAGCCAGGUUCAUCCCUAUAAUAUGCACUGGUUUCAUUGUGGACAGAGGGGUUCUAAACACUCUGAUGAAAGAGCCAGACCCAAAAGGCACUGAUGACAACUCCAUCCUUCCAGUUGUUCAAGCUGAGAAGUCUGUACUUAUUCUUGAUUUCUGUUUGUUUGACAUCCCACAUCAAUGUGGCAGGAAAUCAUGUGGACUCUAUUUUCAAAAUACAUCCAGAAUCUGAUCGACUCCCACUACUUCCUCUGCUACCUCCCCUGUCAGAGCCACCCUCCUGUCUUGCCUGGACUAGGGAAAAAGCUCCCAUUCUUAGUGCAGCUGCCAGACCGAUCCUUCUAAAGUUAGAUCCCAUGGCUCCAUCUGUUCAUAACUUCCCAGGCCCCAUCUGUUCCCACCUCACUCGGAGUACCAGUCCCAAGACUGGCAAAGCCCUGUAUCAUCUACACCCUCACUCUGUCCUCCUAUCCCUCAAAUCUGCCCCUAGUGUGCUCUAGUCACAUGGGCCUUUUGAUGCUCCUUGAACUUGCUCCUGCCUUAGGCCUCUGGACCUUUCUCUAGAAGUUCCCACUGCCUGGAAUGCUCUUCUCCAGGUAUAACUUUCUCACCAAUUUCAGGUCAGUGCUCAGCUCUCACCGUGCUAUUUCACACAGCAAGCUGUACCUCCCCCCUGCCUCCCCCCAAUACCAGGUUCCUUUUGUCUUUUUUCCUUCUUUUCCCCAUAGUAUUCAUCCCUACAUAAUUCACUUAUUUGUUGUGUUCAUUGUUUGCCAUCUGUCUUCACCAGGAAGUUAGUUCCAUGAGGUUAGGUAUCUGUUUUACUUAGUGACGUAUUGCAAAUGCUGGCAUAUAGUAAGUAUUCCAUAUAUGUUUAAGUUAACGAAACCAGCCUCCAAUGCUCGCUCAGGGUGAGAGCUGAGUUGGGCUGAAAAAAAAAAAAGUCCAGAAACUUUCUGGAUAAGUUUAUUAUGACCCAAGGGUCAAUAGUCAUGUGCCGGGGCACCUGUGUGGCUCAGUCAGUUAAACGUCCAACUUCAGCUCACGGUUCAUGAGUUUGAGCCCCAUGUGCUGACAGCUCAGAGCCUGGAGCCUUCUUUGGAUUCUGUGUCUCCCUCUCUCCCUCUGCCCCUCCCCCGCUUAUACUCUGCCUCUCUCUCUCUCUCUCUCUCUCUCUCUCUCUCUCUCACAAAAACAAAUAAAACAUUAAAAGAAAAAAAUAGUCAUGCGCCCAGGCUUGGAAAUUCCCCCAGAUGUAGAGGAAAAUGGACCCAGCAAAAUUCAGCAAACCCAGGGAGGUAUUUAGCCAGACUUCCCUCCCAGUAGGUUCCUGGUUAGAUCCCAUCACAGGCAACUGGGCUGGAGCUGAGAUGUUGUUCACUUAAAUGAUGACAGGAAAAAGGAAAUGGUGAGGGGAAGUCCGCGGUGGGCAUGAGAAAGGCACCUGAAAUGCAUCAGUCUGUAGAUUAAGCCACUGGCUGCUGGAAUGAGGAAGUCCCUCUCCCAGAUCUGGCAGGGCAGAGAGGUAGCUCACAAGGGGAGGGAAGUGGCAGAAAGGAGCUGCAUUCUUUCUUUCUUUUUUCAUUUCAGUGAUGUAUUUAUUUUAUAACUGGAAGUUUGUACCUCUUACUCCCUUCACUUUACCCAUGCCCGCAUCCACCUCUCCUCUGGCAACCACCAGUUUGUUCUCUGUAUUUAAGAGUUCUGUUUGUUUUUGCUGGAGUUUCUUCCGUCUUCUCUAGGGGGAAGCCCCACACUAGAUCUCAUGCUACAAGACAGGGCCAAACAGAGUUCAGGUCAUUGCUGUGGCCUGGGGCCUCCUCUCCUCUUCUGAAAUCCCCCAGGGGGAUAUCCAUCCUUCCUUUUGAUAAAGUGAAGGAUUUAGGUUGAAUGGGAGGGUAGAAAGGUUCAGCCUGUCGGGAAUACUCUACAGAUCAACCAUGUUUUUGGAACUGGGGUCCAAGAUCUCUGACUCCACGUCCUGGACUGUGUCCCAGGUGGACCUGCUCACGCUCUUCUCAUGGAGUCUCCCCCCACGUUCUGGAAUGACUCUCUCCUUCUUCCAGGCAGCAGAGUUUUGUUGUUGUUGUUGUUGUUUUUCAUCUCAAUGUAGGGUGAAGUUCCAGAAGACAGUGUUGUACACCCAAUGCAGAACCUCAGACUGCAUGGCCAAGAGGACCUUGUUGAUGGAAGCCCAGAGAGGGAAAAUAACUUGUCCAAGAUCACACAGUUCCUGGGCCACUCUUAAGGAAGGAGCUGGAAAGAGAACUUAGGUUUUCUGACUGCACUUUGAAGUUCCUUCCAGCAGUAAGAUUUUGUGAUUUCUUGAUGCUGAUCCACUCUACUAUAGAGUGGCUUUCGUCACAAAACUCUGGCCCUGACAUCCCCCAGGUACCUUGUCUGCUGCCACUGGCUGUGGCCACAGCAGCCCAUUCCUUGGCCCCUGGAAGGGGUGACAUUCUUUUCUAGGGUAUUUGGAAAUAUAUUCUUCAGCCUCAUUCCCCUUCUUAUAGCCAAAUCCCCUAAGCUUCUGUAAGUUGGCACCUUCCCACUUCCCUCUUCCCAGGCUCUGUGACUCCGAUCUGCACACUUUCCCUUUCCCUUCUCCUGGCUAGUGCCUUUCCAGUUCCACACCUCCAGUCUGGACAUGGUCUUGACUCUGGCAGGGAUGCAGAAUCACAGGAAUUAUUGGAAAGAUGUUAGAGAUCAGAGUCCUGCUCCACACUGUCUCCUGCAGAUUUUGGGGGGCUGUCCCUUCUCUCUACUGCUUGAGGAUCAGGAUAGAUGUCAGGGCUCUCAUUCAUUGAGCACCUAAGAUGUACAUGUAUUCCACGAGCAACCAGUAUGUAGCAGGCACUGUGUAAGAGACUUACUCUCUCAUGUCGUCCUCACAGAAUGGCCCAGCAAGUUAAAGAUUACUCCCAUUUUAUAGAUCAGGAGGUUGAGCUUCAGAAAGAUUCUUUAAUUUGCCCUAGUCAUAGAGCUAAUAAAGGGUAGGAUUAGAAAUGAAACCCAGAUGUGCUGAACUAAAAGCCUAAAUCCCAUGCACAAGGGGUGGGAGAAGAGGGAAGGGUUGUAGAAAGGGGGGAAAUGUGAAACACUAUCUUCCAUGGCCUCCCUGGCUGCAGGACUGAGGGGUGAAUAUCACUGUGGGAAUGAUUUUAUAUCUUCCAAUCAAACUUCAGAGAGGAGAGGUCACUGGGCCAGGGAGGCAGCAGGGGUAUUUUGCUGACAGCCCUUGACAUGCACCCUGCUACCUCUCAGCCUGUGCAUUUAUGAUCACCUGGCUGCUUCUGGAAACUACCCAGCCACACCAAGGCAGGUAGCCCGCCCCUCCUCUCUGGGUUGAGGAAGCAGGAAAAGGUGGCAGUGAGAGGCUUUGGGCAGACGUGCUGGGCAAUGAUGGCCGGAGCUCCUGUUAGGAUGGGCUUUCUCUGGGGCCUGGCUCUGCCCCUUUUCUUCUGCUGCGGGGCUGGGGCCCCUGGGAGCUCUGCAGGUAAGGAGGUGUGGGCUGCUCUCCUCACAGGGCUCUGGGUGUGAGUUUCUGUACCGGUAGCCCUUUGUGGUUGAUUAAUUAGAAUUAACCAUAAAGCUACAUCUGAAGUAUUACUAUUGUUGAUAAAGAGUGUGCAAAUGGCAGUGUGUCAGCUUACGCAUGUAUGACACUGCAGUCCGUAGGAUGAAUGAUGUCCUUGUGCCCUAGCUGCCGGUUGUCUCUGCGGGGAGUGUGUGAGGUGGAGGGGUGGGAGGGGCGAGGGAGGUGCCGGCAGGGAAUAAAUCUGACUAAAGCCAAAGAAAGCAGCUUGACAAGAUUCCAACUCCUCCAAGUUUAUUUCCUAGCCCAGAUUUCCUUUAAAAAACAGUUUUGGUGUGAAAAGUCCAACUGUUACAGACUGCCUGGGGAGGGCGGAUUCUGAGAAGGGCAGGGCUUUUAUGAAAGAGACUGACAUGGAUGUGUCAUAGGAACUGUGCCAUGCUUGUCACAUGCAUUGUCUUUAUUAUUUUUUUAAUAGACUUUUUAUUGUAGAGCAGUUUUGGGUUCACAGCAAAAUUGAGCAGAAAAAACAGAGAUUCGGUUCACAUAUAACCUCUGCACCCCCCCAUACCUAAUAUCCCCUCAUUAUCAACAUCCUGCAUUAUCUUUUUCUUUUUUUUUUUAAUUUUUUUUUUAACGUUUAUUUAUUUUUGGGACAGAGAGAGACAGAGCAUGAACGGGGGAGGGGCAGAGAGAGAGGGAGACACAGAAUCUGAAACAGGCUCCAGGCUCUGAGCUGUCAGCACAGAGCCCAACGCGGGGCUCGAACUCACGGACCGUGAGAUCAUGACCUGAGCUGAAGUCGGACACUUAACCGACCAAGCCACCCAGGCGCCCCUAAUGACUAUUUUUUACAGCAGUUUUAGUUUCGCAGCCAAAUUGAGAGGAAGGGACCGAGACUUCCUAUAUGCUCCCAUGCACCAUCUUUUUAAUCCUCUCGGUAACCUCAUGAGAGAGACACGGGUCUUGUUAUUACCCGUCUCUCUCCACAAGAUGGGACUGAGGCUUACCAUCUUGCAACUCAUCUGCAAAGCCAGAAUGUUAUUCCGCAUGUGCCUACCACUAGGACCACGUUGUCUCUUGCACGCGCUCAUGACCUGCCAGGCUUGUGCUGCACAUUUUACAUUUAAUUGAACUUAGUCUUCACAACCCUAUGAAAUAGGUACCUGUAGCUCCAUUUUAUAGAUGAGGAAAAUGCACGCUUGAGCCAGGAGACUUGGUCGGGGUCACAUGAUUGGUAAGCAGCGGAGUAAACAGCAGAGAAGGGACUCAAACUCAGGAUCUAUAGUACACAUGCCUUCCUCUCUGCUUUUUUGAUCUGAGGAAUGGACCAAGAAAGCUGCAGCAUUCUAGAGCUGUAGAGGAUUGGGUAGGCUUUGCUGUGUUUGAGAAGACCUCUGGUGGGUAAGAAACUUGGGUGGGGUUGUGAGAGCCCCGAGGGGUGUGAAGAAGCUACGGGGUUGGAAGCAUCAGGAGGUUUCACAGCAGGAUGGUAUCACAGGGUUCCAGGAAAAGGAAGAAAAUACUUCAGGGGAGGUGGAUGGUCAGACCCCAAGAGCACCACUGGUUGGGCUCUAGGCUGGGUGGGUUGACACAGCUUUGCUUUCACUGUGUGGGGACUGAGGAAGCUCAGAGAAAUAUCUUGGGCUUUGAAGUGGGGAGGAGAAAGUAUAUU